This 827-nucleotide ribosomal RNA is filed under the name Knufia sp. LS-2015d. RNAcentral describes it as "eukaryotic LSU rRNA". It matches the Rfam family "Eukaryotic large subunit ribosomal RNA", at positions 86 to 931 of the family's 3401-position model. Lineage: Eukaryota; Fungi; Ascomycota; Eurotiomycetes; Chaetothyriales; Trichomeriaceae. The record is from RNAcentral.
ACGGCGAGUGAAGCGGCAACAGCUCAAAUUUGAAAUCUGGCCUUCACGGUCCGAGUUGUAAUUUGUAGAGGAUGUUUUGGGUACCGCCGCGGGUUAAUUUUCUUGGAACAGAAUGCCAAAGAGGGUGAGAGUCCCGUCUUGGCCCGCGGUAGGGCUCGUGUAAAACUCCUUCGACGAGUCGACUAGUUUGGGAAUGCUGGUCAAAAUGGGUGGUAAAUUUCAUCUAAAGCUAAAUAUUGGCCGGAGACCGAUAGCGCACAAGUAGAGUGAUCGAAAGAUGAAAAGCACUUUGAAAAGAGAGUUAAACAGUAUGUGAAAUUGUUGAAAGGGAAGCGCAGGCAACCAGACUCGUGCGCGGGGUUCCCCCUUGCUUCUGCUUGGGUCAUUUCCCCGUGUCCGGGCCAUCAUCAGUUUCGGGGGCCGGUUAAAGGCUCUGGGAAUGUAUCCUCGCCUUCGGGGGAGGACUUAUAGCCCAGGGUGUCAUGCGGCCACCCGGGACUGAGGCACGCGCUUCGGCGAGGAUGAUGGCGUAAUGGUUGUCUGCGACCCGUCUUGAAACACGGACCAAGGAGUCUAACAUCUAUGCGAGUGUUCGGGUGUCAAACCCUGGCGCGGAAUGAAAGUGAACGGAGGUAGGAAGGCUCACGCCCGCACUAUCGACCGAUCCUGAUGUCUUCGGAUGGAUUUGAGUAAGAGCAUAGCUGUUGGGACCCGAAAGAUGGUGAACUAUGCGUGAAUAGGGUGAAGCCAGAGGAAACUCUGGUGGAGGCUCGCAGCGGUUCUGACGUGCAAAUCGAUCGUCAAAUUUGCGUAUAGGGGCGAAAGAC